AGCAGCCGCGGUAAUUCCAGCUCCAAUAGCGUAUAUUAAAGUUGUUGCAGUUAAAAAGCUCGUAGUUGAAUUUCGGGAUCAAAGGAUCGGUCAUGCCUUGGUAUGUACUGGUCUUAUUGGUUCUCACCUUCUAAAGAACCAUAAUGUCAUUCAUUUGAUGUUAUGGGGAAUUAGGACUGUUACCUUGAAAAAUUAGAGUGUUUAAAGCAGGCUUUACGCUUGAAUACAUUAGCAUGGAAUAAUGAAAUAGGACGUUCGAUCCUAUUUUGUUGGUUUCUAGGAUUGACGUAAUGAUUAAUAGGGAUAGUUGGGGGCAUUAGUAUUCAAUUGUCAGAGGUGAAAUUCUUGGAUUUAUUGAAGACUAACUACUGCGAAAGCAUUUGCCAAGGAUGUUUUCAUUAAUCAAGAACGAAAGUUAGGGGAUCGAAGACGAUCAGAUACCGUCGUAGU
RNAcentral lists this ribosomal RNA (450 nucleotides) under uncultured Glomeromycotina. Its description in RNAcentral is "SSU rRNA". It matches the Rfam family "Eukaryotic small subunit ribosomal RNA", at positions 569 to 1024 of the family's 1831-position model. The record is from RNAcentral. Lineage: Eukaryota; Fungi; Glomeromycota.